This is a non-coding RNA of Pelobates cultripes (western spadefoot toad), 261 nucleotides long. The record is from the annotation of a GenBank genome assembly. Lineage: Eukaryota; Metazoa; Chordata; Amphibia; Anura; Pelobatidae.
CCUCCACACAAUGUAACUGUGUGAUACUUGGGCUUUUUUACAGUUGCCAGCUCCAGCUGCCUGGUGGAGGAGAUGUUCUACUAUAAUGGUUAAUGCAAUGUGUAAAUGAUGCAGGAAAAGAAUCAAGUGACAAAAGUGUAUAUACUGUAUGUGAAUGAUCCGAUAGAAGCCCAAGCCAAAAAGUUAUAUAAAUAAAAAUCUGUUGUGCAUGGUGUGUGUUAUGUAUAGAAUAACCAUUAUCACACCAUGCCUAAAGCUAAG